This 541-nucleotide ribosomal RNA is filed under the name uncultured Peritrichia. RNAcentral describes it as "SSU rRNA". It matches the Rfam family "Eukaryotic small subunit ribosomal RNA", at positions 1234 to 1821 of the family's 1831-position model. The record is from RNAcentral. Lineage: Eukaryota; Ciliophora; Oligohymenophorea.
UUAGGAUUGACAGAUUGAGAGUUCUUUCUUGAUUGGUCUAGUGGUGGUGCAUGGCCGUUCUUAGUUGGUGGAGUGAUUUGUCUGGUUAAUUCCGUUAACGAACGAGACCUUAACCUGCUAACUAGUACUUGGAUCUCUAAUCUAAGGUACUUCUUAGAGGGACUAUGUGUGGUAAGCACAUGGAAGUUUGAGGCAAUAACAGGUCUGUGAUGCCCUUAGAUGUCCUGAGCUGCACGCGUACUACAAUGACACUUUCAGCAAGUUUUUCCUGAUCCGAAAGGAUUUGGGUAAUCUUUUUAGUGAGUGUCGUGCUUGGGAUAGUUCUUUGUAAUUGUGGAACUUGAACUAGGAAUUCCUAGUAAGCGCGAUUCAACAUAUCGUGCUGAUUACGUCCCUGCAAAAUGUACACACCGCCCGUCGCUUUUACCGAUUGAGUGUUCAGGUGAGUCUUCUUGAUAGUGUCAAAACUAAAAAUUAAACAAAUCUUAGCACUUAGAGGAAAAAGAAGUCGUAACAAGGUUUCCGUAGGUGAACCUGCGGA